AUUCGGGCGUCGUGUGUAUAAAUUGUCCUUGCUAUAGCAUUCAGUUAGGAAGCUGGCGUACGUAAUAUGCAAAACAUUUGUGGUCUUCUUAUAGCCAAAAUGGAGCCACCCUUUCUCAGUCUCAAAACAAUGGAACAUAUAAGGUCAGGUUCUCUACACCCUGAUACGGAUGAGGUAUCUAAAGCAUACAUUCAGACUAUUGUUCCAUCUCUAUCGUCUCAGGGUAAGGGAUGGGGUAACAUUUGCCGAGUUUUCUCGCAAAACAACCAAUCAGUACUAUUAGACAGUUGCAGUCUAAUAGAUAACCAUCAUCUAAGUUCGUUAGGCAUGUGUUAAAUGCUUGUUGUGAAUUGAAGCCAAGAAAUGGUGGUCCCUUGUGAAAGAGCAGUGAUGUGCCACAAUAUA
Long non-coding RNA from Brassica rapa (field mustard), 405 nucleotides. RefSeq lists it as uncharacterized. NCBI's taxonomy places the organism in Eukaryota, Viridiplantae, Streptophyta, Magnoliopsida, Brassicales, Brassicaceae. The record is from RefSeq and is a predicted model, not a curated record.